RNAcentral lists this long non-coding RNA (1191 nucleotides) under Musa acuminata (dwarf banana). RNAcentral describes it as "long non-coding RNA (MACU_LNC001212)". The record is from RNAcentral. Lineage: Eukaryota; Viridiplantae; Streptophyta; Magnoliopsida; Zingiberales; Musaceae.
CAGCAUCACCGCCCUCUGCUCACUCCGUUCAUAUUAAUUUUAAUGGAUCCGGAUUCAGUAAGGCAUCGUCGUUCCACCGUCCCACCGUCGCAGCAGCUUUCUCCUGCUAUAAAUUCCAGACUCCUCCUUGCUGCACUAAGCAAGGAGCCCGAGAGAGGUGAGGAGAGAUGGGCGGUGGACUGCUUGCUUUCUUUGGGCUGAGGAGGCAGCAGACGAGGGGGCAUGAGAAGGCAGCGGAGCCACGGCAGCGGCGGAAGGGCCAUGAACCCGAUCUGCGUCGGCCGUGGCAACCCAAAGCAGGUUCGUUCGAGGCGGAAAUGGAACCGUGGCAGCGAAAGGUUCGACGCACCGACGAAGACCACGGACGCUGGGUUUCUGGGCUCGACGUCGACAGGAAGGCCGAAGAGUUCAUCCACAGAGUCCACCGGCGGAUGAACCCUGAGCUGCUGGAAUCACUCGAGCGUUAAUCGUUAGCUUUCAGUCCUCGUGCUAUAGUAAUUGCUAUGGAGCAAAGCCAAGUUCCAUGUUUCAAGACAUCUAAGCAGAGCGUGGCAUGUGAAGACGUAGACUAUCAUCGUGCUAUUGCUAUCAAUGUAACGAUAGUAAAUUUAAUGACAGCAAUGAUUCCCUUCAUCCUGAAUCCACUGUUUUGAUUCCGAAAUUGAUGAUUCCGGUUCUUGAAUUUUCAGAACCGGAAUGAAAUCGAAUUGGGGUCGGUCUUGAACCAACAAAUCCAGAACGUAGCUCCUCACCCGGCGACUGUUCUUCCGGCUGUGCAAGUCCACGAUGACUUCACAUCCAUAGUAUAUGAGUAUACGAUUGAUCUCCUCGGGUAAUGAGUAUAAUUCAACUCAAAAUACGUCAGCGUGUCGUACGCGACGAGAAGAAACAAAAGACAUGGAGACCCACCAAUGUGCAGAAAACAUUAAUCAUCGACGGGAGAGCAUCGAGUUGGCUUCCAAUGAUCGGUCAUUGCAUGAGAUGACAUCGAUAAUUGCCUCUGCUACAGUUGACUUUGUCGCGGCGCAUAUUCUUUCGUAGGAUGUGAGCUGCUGCUGUCGUCCUCCUCUCCGUCCGUGCCCACGGUUGCAAUUGGAUAGCGUCUCGAGUCACAGCAGGCCGGAGCUUUUCUUUACUCCCUUGUGUUUGUAUGCGGGAGGAUGACGAAGAACGAUUCCCUGCACGCCUUCG